This 461-nucleotide ribosomal RNA is filed under the name uncultured bacterium. RNAcentral describes it as "bacterial SSU rRNA". It matches the Rfam family "Bacterial small subunit ribosomal RNA", at positions 1 to 507 of the family's 1533-position model. The record is from RNAcentral.
CGAUAUCGACGAGUUGAUCAUGGCUCAGAACGAACGCUGGCGGCAGGCCUAACACAUGCAAGUCGAGCGGACCUUUCGGGGUCAGCGGCGGACGGGUUAGUAACGCGUGGGAACGUGCCCGAAGGUACGGAAUAGUCCCGGGAAACUGGGGGUAAUACCGUAUGUGCCCUAUGGGGGAAAGAUUUAUCGCCUUCGGAUCGGCCCGCGUUGGAUUAGGUAGUUGGUGGGGUAAUGGCCUACCAAGCCGACGAUCCAUAGCUGGUUUGAGAGGAUGAUCAGCAACACUGGGACUGAGACACGGCCCAGACUCCUACGGGAGGCAGCAGUGGGGAAUCUUAGACAAUGGGGGAAACCCUGAUCUAGCCAUGCCGCGUGAGCGAUGAAGGCCUUAGGGUUGUAAAGCUCUUUCAGCUGGGAAGAUAAUGACGGUACCAGCAGAAGAAGCCCCGGCUAACUCCGUG